AUGAGCCAACAGAAGUUUGCUUCCAAUGUUGUGAAGUGCCUGUCUUUUGAUUCUCCCGAGGAGUGCCAGAUUCUAUUGAUAUGUUUGCUGUUUUCACAAGCUAUUCCUCGUAAGCUGCUUCAAGGUGCAAAGUGUGGAUACUAUGUCUAUGUUGCUAUAAAGCUUGAAUUUGGGCAUUUCAGUCUUCUGACAUGUAGCUUCUGCUUUGCAGGCAAUGAUGAAAGACCGGUUUGCAAAAUGUGUGGUGCUAAAGGUUUUGGAGACUUGCGACGCCACACCCGUGAGCUGAUUCUUUCGCGUAUCAAGGUCCUCCUCAGUCCUGAACACAGUAAAAAUAUAGGGAUUAGUUACCUACCUCAUACAGGACAUGAGACCUGGAAUUCUGAAGUGUGCCGAGGCAUAAGCUGUGUAAUCGGCAGCAGGCAUCAAGUAACUCAACCUGGUAGUUGA
Molecule: ribosomal RNA, 450 nt
Filed under: Triticum aestivum (bread wheat)
Lineage: Eukaryota; Viridiplantae; Streptophyta; Magnoliopsida; Poales; Poaceae
Description: partial small subunit ribosomal RNA
Source: RNAcentral